UACAUGUGGGGCAAGCGUUGUUCGGAAUUACUGGGCAUAAAGGGUGCGUAGGCGGCUUGUUAAGUCAGGGGUGAAAUCCCACGGCCCAACCGUGGAACUGCCUUUGAUACUGGCGAGCUUGAGUGCGUGAGGGGUAACCGGAACGAGUAGUGUAGCGGUGAAAUGCGUAGAUAUUACUCGGAAGACCAGAGGCGAAGGCAGGUUACUGGUACGCAACUGACGCUGAGGCACGAAAGCGUGGGGAGCAAACAGG
RNAcentral lists this ribosomal RNA (253 nucleotides) under uncultured bacterium. RNAcentral's name for it is "partial 16S ribosomal RNA". It matches the Rfam family "Bacterial small subunit ribosomal RNA", at positions 524 to 776 of the family's 1533-position model. The record is from RNAcentral.